Molecule: long non-coding RNA, 416 nt
Filed under: Phaseolus vulgaris (common bean)
Lineage: Eukaryota; Viridiplantae; Streptophyta; Magnoliopsida; Fabales; Fabaceae
Description: long non-coding RNA (PVUL_LNC004756)
Source: RNAcentral
GUAUUUAUCUUUUGCUUUUGAUUCUUCAGCUCUAUGGGUUUUUAAUUAGCGUUAUGACUGCGGCUAUGGUCAUUAUUUUAUUGUGAAAAGUUGUAGUCAAAUGUGAUCAAUGCAAUCUCCAUCCUUGCCGAAAUUGCAAUCAUAAACUCCUUUUUAAAACUCACUUAUGCCUAUAUAAACAAAGCAAAUAUUGCCACUAGAUCGACUAGACCAGAGAUUAAAACAUUUAAUAGUAUAUAAAUGAAUGCAUAAUAUGGUAUCAGAAUCAUUUCAAAUAUAUCUUAAUUAGAGUUUGUUGUGUUUAUCAGAUCAGACCAUCCACUAUCAGGUCUUAUCGGAACAUUGAAUUAGAAUUAAAUUUCAUUUCAUAAUAUCUAUCAAUAUAACAUAUUUCUUUUAUUUGGAUUUGUAGGUGG